AUAGUGAUCCGGUGGUUCUGUAUGGAAGGGCCAUCGCUCAACGGAUAAAAGGUACUCUGGGGAUAACAGGCUGAUACCGCCCAAGAGUUCAUAUCGACGGCGGUGUUUGGCACCUCGAUGUCGGCUCAUCUCAUCCUGGGGCUGUAGCCGGUCCCAAGGGUAUGGCUGUUCGCCAUUUAAAGAGGUACGUGAGCUGGGUUUAAAACGUCGUGAGACAGUUUGGUCCCUAUCUGCCGUGGGCGUUGGAAGUUUGAAGGGGGCUGCUCCUAGUACGAGAGGACCGGAGUGGACGAACCUCUGGUGUACCGGUUGUGACGCCAGUCGCAUCGCCGGGUAGCUAUGUUCGGAAGAGAUAACCGCUGAAAGCAUCUAAGCGGGAAACUCGCCUUAAGAUGAGACUUCCCCGGGGACUUGAUCCCCUUGAAGGGUCGUUCGAGACCAGGACGUUGAUAGGUCGGGUGUGUAAGCGCAGUAAUGCGUUCAGCUAACCGAUACUAAUUGCCCGUACGGCUUGAUCCUAUAACA
Molecule: ribosomal RNA, 525 nt
Filed under: Burkholderia pseudomallei
Lineage: Bacteria; Pseudomonadati; Pseudomonadota; Betaproteobacteria; Burkholderiales; Burkholderiaceae
Description: bacterial LSU rRNA
Rfam family: Bacterial large subunit ribosomal RNA
Source: RNAcentral